UUAUUUUCAUUUGGAGAGAGAGAUUUUCAGAGAAAUAGAGGGAGAACGUGAAAAGAGAGUUAAAGUGAAAUAGAUCUAGGUCUUCGACGGUGGUGCUUGUGUUUUAUAGUAGUUGCGGUUCAAGGCUUCAAGCGACAUUGAUGACACCGGUUUUCGAACAUAGCAGAGGCGGUGCAACCAUUGGCUGAGGUCUCGCGGUGGUCUUUGACAUCACAAACAUAUCUGGUUGUGGCAACGACUUAUUGUUGAAGAUGGGAGGUUGCCUUGUGCUUAGGUACGUUUUCCCGUGUUCAGAUCUAGGCGAUGGCAGAGAUCAAUUUAGGAGCACAGAGCACUCGUACUUGAAUAGACCAUGGUAUGCUUUAGGUCUGCUUCUCAUUUGCAAACCAUAGACGGCAAGAUGAAAUAGGUCACAACGAUUUCUGUUUGAAACAAAUUACUUUUAGUAUGGUUGAAAACGGCCUGUGUUAUGAAUGUACUAAUAUGUGUUUCUCGUUUAGCCUCAUUUCUUAAUUUGGUAUUGCCUUGUGGCUUACAAAAAAAGUAUUGAUUUGGUUUUUAAUCUCUUUUGGGUAUCCCUUUCUUCUUGAACGAUAGAUAGUUAUGACUGAUUUUAGUGGUUAGUAGGAAGGAUAAUUCAGAUGAAACCGGUAAAACACAUCUCAGUUGUCGUUCUCUUCAGAGCUUUUAUCUGACCAUGUCUUUUUAAUUACCUAUAUUGGAACUGGACUAAAAGAUGAAACAAAGUUAGUAUCUGAUUUAUUUA
Long non-coding RNA from Helianthus annuus (common sunflower), 766 nucleotides. RefSeq lists it as uncharacterized. Lineage: Eukaryota; Viridiplantae; Streptophyta; Magnoliopsida; Asterales; Asteraceae. The transcript has 2 exons. The record is from RefSeq and is a predicted model, not a curated record.